Molecule: long non-coding RNA, 285 nt
Filed under: Salvia miltiorrhiza (redroot sage)
Lineage: Eukaryota; Viridiplantae; Streptophyta; Magnoliopsida; Lamiales; Lamiaceae
Description: long non-coding RNA (SMIL_LNC011429)
Source: RNAcentral
CGUGUACGAUCCUAGGGUUCCGCCGCCCAAUAAUGCGAUGGUGAGGAAGAUGCUGGCGUGCGGCGCUGCCUGCCCUAGCCUGCUUCGUCGUUGCCGAUUUCUACUCGACGGCGGCUGUGGCCUCUCUCUGUCGCUGGAUCAGUACUCCAGCUCCGGAUUCCAGUCGAGGAAUGAGCAUCUGUUCGGCCGAUCUGGAGCUGCCUAGCCAGGUUCGCCGGAGAGGAGGCGGUGGAUGAUGACGAGCUCGAGGCGGUGGAUGAGGGACGAAGAGGCGGAACCAGAGGA